UUUUUUUUUAUUAUAGUUGAUUUACAAUAUUCUGUCAAUUUCUGCUGUACAGCAAAGUGACCCACUCAUAUAUACACACACACAUUUUCUUUUUCUCACAUUAUCCUCUGUCAUGGUUCAUCACAAGUGACUAGAUACAGUUCCCUGUGCUACACAGGAGGAUCUCACUGUUUAUCUACUCCCAAUGCAAUGUUUGCUCAUGUUCAUUGCUGUAUAGUAUUCCACUGCCUGUAUACAUCAUUAUUUAUUUAGACAAGCACUGAGCGAUAGUUUGGGGUUCAAAGUGUGGGGCUUUUACAAAGUGCAGCUGUCAAUAUUUUGACGGGGUGGGGGUGGGGUCACGCACAUAGCAUGUGGCACUUGCCAGGCCAGGGAUCAAACCACACCACAGCAAUGACCUGAGCCAUAGCAAUGGCAAUGCCAGAUCCUUAACCCGCUAAGCCACGAAGGGCUCCCAGCUGUGACUAUUCUUGUCGUAAGUACGCAUUUGUGUCGGAAGAGAAUCACUCCAUCACGGAGAGUGCAUGUGUUCACAGAGCGAGGCACAAGCGGACUGCGGUAGCCCCUUGCUUAAACCCUCCCUGGCUCCCCAGUGGCUUCAGCAUAAAGUCACAACUUCUGGAAUUUCAACGCACAUGGGCCCUGCCUGUUCUGGCGUAUUCUCUGUCUCCUUCCUUCCUCCACCUCAAACCCUGCUCUUGGACGGGCUCCUUUCCCACCUCGCUGAACCUCUGGUCCCUUCUUGGGACCUGCCGAGCCUUUUCUCUGCCAAGGACCCCCCCCCCCCAAUUUGACAGGCUGCAGCUUCCAACUGGCCAGUUCUUACUUGCUCUUUCUUGUUUUUUGGUUUUCAGGGCCACAUCCACAGCAUAUGGAGGUUCCUAGGCUAUGGGUCCCACUGGAGCUACAGCUGCCUGCCCACGCCACAGACAGAGCAGUGCAGGAUCUGAGCCUCGUCUGUGACCUCCACCACAGCUCACGGCAAGGCCGGAUCCUUAACCCACUGAGUGAGGCCAGGGAGCGAACCUGCAACCUCAUGGGUCCUAGUCGGAUUUGUUUCCACUGUGCAUGACGGGGACUCCCUUACCCAUUCUUUAUUUUGUAGGCCAAACAGAAUUUCCUCAAAAAGGCCUCUCCUGACCCCACUGUAAAAGAACAACCGUUGUCCCUGUCACCCAUUGCCCACUGUCCCUGUCACCCACUGCCCGCUGUCCCUGUCACCCAUUGCCCGCUGUCACCCAUUGCCCGCUGUCCCUGUCACCCAUUGCCCGCUACCGCCGUGCCCCGGAGACCAUGAGCAAAGGGACUGGCACUGCUGGCAUCCCCGCUGGAUCCCCCACACCAGGCACUGCACAGGGACACAGUAGGGGCUCAAUAAAUAACAAUACUCUUCUCUACGGAUCAGAUAAGAGAUGAUGCAAGGCCUUGAAGUCGCAGAGUCCGCUGCUCUUGUGCCUUGAGGCAACUUCCCUAAACUCCCUGGGCCUCCGCUUCCUACUCUGUGAAACAGGGAUAAUCCUGUGGCCUGGAAACACACACGCACACCACUGAGAAAGGGUCGGCCACGUGUCAGUGCCACUGCAGCAGUGGCUUCGGCGCUCCAGCUCUUUGGAGCCUUACCACAACCCGGGGGGCAGGCAGCCUUUCCUUAGCGAUGAGGAAACGGAGCAACUCAAGUCCCAGGGGGUUCAAUAGUCGGCCCAGUAAUUCUGGCUCCAAGUCCCGGCCUCCUCCGCGACAGGGCUGGCAGGGGUGGCAUGAGAAAGACAAUGAAAACAGAGAAGGGCCCAUGGUGAGCUCCAGACAGCCAAGAGCCCGACUCGCUCCUGUCCCUUUGACGGCCACUCAUCUCCACGAAGCCCAAAGGUUCCGAGCGCAGCAUGACAACCCCUGGGCUACACAAACACCCGUGGCUAUUAAUAGCUAGGAAGGAGAAAAUAGAAAGAUCCCAUUACAGAACAAUUUCAAACUUGUAUACAACAAACGACAUCACAAAUGAGGUCAAAAGACAAAUGAGAGUGUGGGAGAAAGGAUGGAGACCUCACAGAACAGAGGCUCGGCCUGGGGUGGACACGCUUCCGCAGAUAAACAGGAAACACACACACGACCCAGUGGGAAAACGGGCAGACUGGGGACCGUGCGCCAGGAGGAAAUGACCCACGGCGCGGAAGCGGGGAAACAAAAUUAAAUGACGAGCUCCCGAAGGUCUGCCGGUACUGGCAGAAAUGAAAACUACUGGGGACAUUCACGAGUGAUGAAGGCACAAGAAAACCAACCCUGAGACACGCCACGGGGCUGUGAAAAAAUUAGAGGCUUUUAGGAAACAUUCAGAAGUGAAAGAAGUGAAAGAAAGGAGAGAUGGUGCUACAGAUGGAUGACAGGUAAAACACGGACAGACACAAAAGCAGUCGCUAGAGGUUUCUUUUUGCAAUUGACAAGAACCUAGAAACACCCCGAGGCAUCACACAGUUGUGCGUUAACAGAGCUAAAAACGCCGAACUCCGAACGUGCCGACCUCCCAUUACUUCCAAACAUAUCAAGUAAAACAGAAUGUUAAGGAAUCAUUUCUUUGGUUUGAGCCUAUUUUCGUGGAAAACAAAAAUAGGCAUAACCAAAUCACCUUGAACAGUUCUUGAAGCAGAGAAGAAAGCCGGAAAAUCUGGAGUCCAGGUUGUGGUGCAGGGGAGACGAAGCCAACUAGGACCCAUGAGGAUGCAGGAUUGAUCCCCACCCAGCCUCGCUCAGCGGGCCGGGGAUCCAGUGUGGCCGUGAGCUGUGGCGGAGGCUGGCAGGUGCGGCUCCGAUUCCACCCGCUGGCCUGGAAACACCCAUAUGCAGUGGGCGUGGCCCUAAAAAGCAAAAAUAAAUAAUUUUAAAACAAGAAAGUAGGAGAAUCAAAUUUCUGAUUUGGAGGGAGUUUUGCUUCAUAUACAUCGUUUAAGUUUGAACGGUUGCCAUGGGCAUGUAUUUUAUUUAAAAAUUAAUGAAUAAGCCCUGCCCACUAAUCACGACUUAUAAGCGUGGCCUGCCUGUCUACUCUCUCAUGAACCCUGUCCUGCUUUUUUCGCACUGACUUUGCUUCAGUUUCUACAAGUAAGCCGCUGGCUGGAGAGAAGGGGUCAUUGGCCUCUGAACAACCUCCGCUGAGGAACCUCUUGGCUGCUCUGCUGCCCUGGUUUUCAGGGGGAGGAAACCGGUAUCGUUACUCUUCUAAGAAGAAAUGUAUGUUCUGAGCAUGCGAUACCACGUGUAGUGGAAAAUCCAAAGCGAACAGGAGCAGGUGGUGACAAGCGAGUCCCUGCCGCCCGGCUCUAGGCCAGUGUCCGGGUCCUUUCAGAGGUGGUCCCGGCAGACACUAGCACACGCGUGUGUAGAAUCUACUUUUUCUAGGAACACAAAUGCUGUAAAUGUCUUUAUACAUGGAAAAGUCUUUCUAAAGGAAGAUGCCUUUUGAUCUUUUGGAGCCAGAACCUGAUUAGUUCCAAGGUUGCACUUCUUUCCUGCUUGAGAAGCCACACCUCCCCCGCAGAGGCAGUGACUCCAUCAUUCGUCCGUCCACCAGUCUGUCUGUUGGUCCAGCCACCCAUCCAUCCACAUCCGCUAAUGAGUGUUUGGUGAGCACUCACUGUGGCCCGGACACUAGGCUACAGGCUGGAGAAAAAAGUGGUGAAAAGAGAAGCUCCUGUCGUGGCUCAGCGGUUAUCAAACCCGACUAGGAACCAUGAAGAUGAGAGUUCAAUCCCUGGCCUUGCUCCGUGGGUUAAGGAUCCGGCGAUGCCGUGAGCUGUGGUGUAGGUCGCAGACGCGGCUCAGAUCCUGUGUUGCUGUGGCUGUCGUGUAGGCCAGCAGGUGCAGCUCCAAUUUGAUCCUUAGCCUGGAACCCGCCACAUGCCUCGGGUGGCACCCCCACAAAAAAAAUGGUGAAAUGAUAAGGUCCUUGCUCUCAGCCAGCUGGCCUGCCGGGGACAUAACAAAUUGUGUAGAAGGAAACAAAUAAUAGAAGAAAAGGAACACAGUUCAGACCACAGGAAGGGCCCUGGGGAGAUUCGCUGUCAGUGGGGGGGCGGGCAGAGGAGGAGAGAGGGGAGAAAAGGGGGGCGCUGUUAUGGAUGGAGUGGCAGGAAGAUCUCCCUCAGGAGGUGACAUUUCGUCUAAGAACUGAAUGACAAGAAGGAGCAGAUGCUGCCGGGUUCCUGGCUCUGAUGACUUUCCAGCAAGCGCUUUCCCGGGCAGAGCUUCAGGCCGCGCUGAGCGGCGAAGGGGGCGGGGAGGCGCUCAUCUGACCCCACCUCGGCCACCGAAAGCCAGGGGGCCUUGGGGACGUGACUGAAGCUCUCCACGCCUCAGUUUCCUCACCUGGAAUAUGACGCCACUAAAAGCAGUAUCCGUCGAACAGCAUGCCACUGAAAAUUAAAUGGACAGAGCAAUGCGGGCUGCCCAGGCUGGCACGAAGAAAGGGAUCCCAAAAUAACCACGUUAAAAAGUUAUUAUUAUUCUUAUUAAUGUAUUUAUUUUUGGUCUUUUUGUCUUUUCUGAGGCCACACCCACGGCCUGUGGAGGUUCCCAGGCCGGGGUCCAAUCGGAGCUGUAGCCACCGGCCUUGACGAGAGCCACAGCAACACCGGAUCCGAGCCUCAUCUCCGACCUGCACCCCAGCUCAGGACAAGGCCGGAUCCUUAACCCAUGGAGCGAGAGAUAAACCUAUUUAUAAAACAGAAAGAGACUCACAGACAUGGAGAACAGACUUGUGGGUGUCAAGGGGGAGGGGGAGGAAGCGGGGGAGGGAACGGGGAGUUUGGGGUUCGCAGAGGCAAACAAUGACAUUUAGGAUGGAUAAGCAGUGAGGUCCUGCUGCACAGGGAACUCUACUCAGUCUCUUGGAACAGACCUUGACGGAAGACAAAGUCGGCAAAGGACACACAGACACACAGCCAUGACUCGGUCCCUCGGCCAUACAGCAGAC
RNAcentral lists this long non-coding RNA (4963 nucleotides) under Sus scrofa (pig). RNAcentral describes it as "lncRNA (ENSSSCG00030039253.1)". Lineage: Eukaryota; Metazoa; Chordata; Mammalia; Artiodactyla; Suidae. The record is from RNAcentral.